Molecule: ribosomal RNA, 394 nt
Filed under: Phylloscopus humei (buff-browed warbler)
Lineage: Eukaryota; Metazoa; Chordata; Aves; Passeriformes; Phylloscopidae
Description: Abrornis humei (buff-browed warbler) partial 12S ribosomal RNA
Rfam family: Bacterial small subunit ribosomal RNA
Source: RNAcentral
GCCUGGCCCUAAAUCUUGAUGCUCGAUCUUACCGGAGCAUCCGCCCGAGAACUACGAGCACAAACGCUUAAAACUCUAAGGACUUGGCGGUGUUCCAAACCCACCUAGAGGAGCCUGUUCUGUAAUCGAUGAUCCACGAUAUACCUGACCAUUCCUUGCCAGAACAGCCUAUAUACCGCCGUCGCCAGCCCACCCCGCAUGAAGGUUCAACAGUGGACGCAAUAGCCCCCCCCGCUAAUAAGACAGGUCAAGGUAUAGCCUAUGGAAUGGAAGCAAUGGGCUACAUUUUCUAGAUUAGAACAAACGGCAAAGGGACAUGAAACGGUCCCUGGAAGGCGGAUUUAGCAGUAAAGUGGGACAAUCGAGCCCUCUUUAAGCCGGCCCUGGAGCACGU